Molecule: small RNA, 76 nt
Filed under: Erythrobacter ramosus
Lineage: Bacteria; Pseudomonadati; Pseudomonadota; Alphaproteobacteria; Sphingomonadales; Erythrobacteraceae
Description: Erythromicrobium ramosum suhB
Rfam family: Makes More Granules Regulator RNA (mmgR)
About the family: SuhB later renamed mmgR (makes more granules regulator) was a putative non-coding RNA found multiple times in the Agrobacterium tumefaciens genome and related alpha-proteobacteria. Other non-coding RNAs uncovered in the same analysis include: speF, ybhL, metA, and serC.
Source: RNAcentral
AGAACCUGCCUUUCAGGCAUCCUCUCCCAAACUUUUCAAGCCCGGCACCUAGUGCCGGGCUUUUUUCUUGCCCGGC